GAUCUCUGAGAUUGCUUUUGUGGCCUCUGGAACCAAUCUAUCUCUGCAGUUUUUUCCGGCAAAUUGGCAUGGAGAACAGCGGCAAACUCCCACACGAGAGUACGUGGACUUCGAGCGUGAUGUAGGCA
Long non-coding RNA from Rhincodon typus (whale shark), 128 nucleotides. RefSeq lists it as uncharacterized. NCBI's taxonomy places the organism in Eukaryota, Metazoa, Chordata, Chondrichthyes, Orectolobiformes, Rhincodontidae. The record is from RefSeq and is a predicted model, not a curated record. The transcript is spliced from 3 exons.